This 522-nucleotide ribosomal RNA is filed under the name Triticum aestivum (bread wheat). RNAcentral's name for it is "partial small subunit ribosomal RNA". The record is from RNAcentral. Lineage: Eukaryota; Viridiplantae; Streptophyta; Magnoliopsida; Poales; Poaceae.
AUGGACUCGGAUGAGGAGGAAGAGCUCGCCACGCUGCUGGAGGAGGAAGCCGCGGCCGACGUCCAGGAAGAAGAGCAUCUGAUGGUGCUCGCCGCCCUCGCCCAGCUGCUGGCGAGCAAUGAAAAGCCGCAUCGAGGUGGCUCGGCGCCGGGGCGGGUGAAAGCAAAGAACCGGCAUCGUCUGCAUGGCUACUGCAUGCUCUACUCCGACUACUUCGCCGAUGCUCCACUUCAUGGCGAGAGAACAUUUCGGCGCCGUUAUCGGAUGAGCCGAAAGCUCUUCCUCAGGAUUGUGAAUUCCAUCCGGGAGUUCGACAACUACUUCAAGUGCAAGAUGGAUUGCACUGGCGCUCUUGGAUUCAUCUCCAUCCAGAAGUGCACGACAGCGAUGAGGAUGCUUGCAUAUGGAGCUCCCAGUGAUUCACUCGACGACUAUGGGCGCAUGGCCGAGUCCACCAGCAUAGAGUGUUUCUACAAGUUCUGUCGGGCAGUGGUGGCAGUGUUUGGGCCACAAAAUACUUGA